AUGUUGGAAAAAGUGUGUUAAUUUCCCUUUACUCCCCUGAGCAAGAUGGCAGCGUAUUGUUAUCUCUUGCUAAAGCCUAUGUUUAGACUGGCGGGAAGAAGAGAAAAGCUAAUUUCCCUGCUAAGUGUAAAGCUCUAUUUACUUAGUGCUAUAUUGAAUUGGCCAAGGUAAACGAACCUGAAUCUGCUCUGCUGGAACAUGGAUAAUGUGGGGCGGCCUGUCGCCAUGGUGAUGCACCGCGUUGCUCUCCUGUUCAUAAAUGGCAUCACGUUCUGGCUGAGGAAGACUGAGGAACCUUCGGAUCAUGGAGAGGUUCUCCCACAGAGUCCUGUUUUCUGGAGAGGGAUCUUCUUUCCAGCGUAACAGCUCACACAACCACCCCUUGGAGACAAGGGCAUAAUAGUGCCGUUAAAAAACAGAAAAGUCAGUACUCCCAAGGUCCAUCAAUGUCAGCCUUUCUUCUAUCGUGAAGAAUCCACGACUCCUUUCCACCUGUCGUCCACCACUGACUUGUCAGCCUGGGAGUCGUCUCCCUUGAAGUAUGCUCUUAGGGGAAACAGUGCACCGAUGAUGACUAGAGCUAUCAUACGAAGUUGUGACACCUAAAGGAGCAAAUAAAUGGGAUGUCUAGCUUAGCCUAUGGAACUUCCUGCCAGAUAAAUACACAGGUUUAACUAAGCUUUCUUGAAUCCCCUUAGCCAUCUCUGAGAUGCUCUUAGAAAAGAGAUGCUGGGAUGAAAAUCAUUGCUCUGGUCUUUCAAACUGCCCAAAGUUAUC
This is a long non-coding RNA of Acinonyx jubatus (cheetah), 777 nucleotides long. RefSeq lists it as uncharacterized. The record is from RefSeq and is a predicted model, not a curated record. The transcript has 3 exons. NCBI's taxonomy places the organism in Eukaryota, Metazoa, Chordata, Mammalia, Carnivora, Felidae.